Long non-coding RNA from Oreochromis aureus, 730 nucleotides. Lineage: Eukaryota; Metazoa; Chordata; Actinopteri; Cichliformes; Cichlidae. The record is from Ensembl.
AGAGGAGAAGGAGGAGGUGGAGUAUUAUGUUCUGUCGUGCAUUCCACUGCAGCAUUGUUGCUUUUUUGUUUUUGUCAGGGCAGGCUUUGAUGCUGUAUCCUCUUACCUUUGUAGUCCCGGUAGCCAUGUUUCAUAAACACGGAAUGGGAAACAUCCUCAGCAUUAGAAAUUUAGAUUGCUGCUUUCCUCCUGCCACUCUGCAUUCCGCACGUGCCCGGUCGCAUUCUCCAUCUCCCAUUGCUGAGUAACCAUUUUGUCCGACAUCUGACACACUGCCCUGGGUUAUUGAGCCAGACGUGGAAAUCCAAAGCGGAGAUGCUCUCCUUAAUGCCUGACACCUGGUGCAGAUUUGGAAGGGAUUGCACUACAGGCUGUGUCCAGUUCUGUCACUGGUCCUUAGUGCUCCAGCAGCCUGGUCAAAAAGACAUCCUGGCAGGGUCCCAGGGUGGAUGCAUCGCCCACGCACGCUGCUCUUGCCAGAUCCCAGAAGUCUUUGUGGUGAACCACUGACCGUGCUGCUCCCUAUUUUCUUCCAGCCCAGCAAAUAAUGUGUCAGAAAAAGAUUAUUGAUAGCCCAUAAAAGAAGAGGCAGAAUGUUGUUGCCGCACUGCUCCAACUUUAAAGAACAAUACAAGUGCUAAACCAUCAGUUUCAAUGGUGCACUGCUCCUGAAAGAGCACAGCAUUUAUUUUUCACAUUGUUGUUCAGUUUGAAUAAAAGGUGCUACAAC